UGAAUUAUAUGUGUCGAUUGAUUAUAUACUAUGAGCUAUAUCUGAUUUCCAAAUUGUGGUGAAUAGUUGACUUACGAUUUUGAGAGGGGCUGGUGUAGGCAUCUGAAUCAACUGGACCAAGACCAGUUUCUUCUGCAUCGUUCUCACAUCAAUAGCAUUAGCAUUCAACCACUCCCCUGUAACAUCUAUUCAAGCACAAGUUAAACAUACUUGUUCAUUUGGGUUUUUCUUUUAAAAAUACUUUUAAGAUGUAAAAAGAUUAAAAGAAAUUUUUGAAUUUCAGAUUAAAGUUUGAAUAACUUAGUGAUUAACUAAAGGAAAUAAAAAGGUAAAAGAAAAAAUAGUACCAAUCAAUAGGGGGACAUCUUGGUAAAAUGAAGGAAAAGGGUGUUUCCUUUUCGACAGAGUUACAGAUUCAGAACCAUAUGCCCAAGCACUCAAAAGUUGAAAAACUCCAUAUAU
This 462-nucleotide long non-coding RNA is filed under the name Vigna radiata. RNAcentral describes it as "long non-coding RNA (VRAD_LNC005758)". The record is from RNAcentral. Lineage: Eukaryota; Viridiplantae; Streptophyta; Magnoliopsida; Fabales; Fabaceae.